AGAGUUUGAUCAUGGCUCAGAAUCAACGCUGGCGGCGCGCCUAACACAUGCAAGUCGAGCGAGAAAGUGGAGCAAUCCAUGAGUACAGCGGCGUACGGGUGAGUAACACGUGGGUAAUCUACCUCUUAGUGGGGAAUAACCCUGGGAAACCGGGGCUAAUACCGCAUAAGCCUGAGAAGGGAAAGCAGCAAUGCGCUGAGAGAGGAGCCCGCGGCUGAUUAGCUAGUUGGUGAGGUAAAGGCCCACCAAGGCAUAGAUCGGUAGCCGGCCUGAGAGGGCACAUGGCCACACUGGCACUGAAACACGGGCCAGACUCCUACGGGAGGCAGCAGUGGGGAAUCUUGCACAAUGGGGGAAACCCUGAUGCAGCGACGCCGCGUGAGCGAUGAAGCCCUUCGGGGUGUAAAGCUCUUUCGGCAGGGAAGAUUAUGACGGUACCUGCAGAAGCAGCUGCGGCUAACUACGUGCCAGCAGCCGCGGUAAUACGUAGGCAGCGAGCGUUGUUCGGAGUUACUGGGCGUAAAGGGUGUGUAGGCGGUUCUUUAAGUUUGGUGUGAAAUCUCCCGGCUCAACUGGGAGGGUGCGCCGAAUACUGAGGGACUAGAGUGCGGGAGAGGAAAGUGGAGUUCCUGGUGUAGCGGUGAAAUGCGUAGAUAUCAGGAGGAACACCGGUGGUGUAGACGGCUUUCUGGACCGUAACUGACGCUGAGACACGAAAGCGUGGGUACAAACAGGAUUAGAUACCCUAGUAGUCC
Molecule: ribosomal RNA, 755 nt
Filed under: uncultured bacterium
Lineage: Bacteria
Description: bacterial SSU rRNA
Rfam family: Bacterial small subunit ribosomal RNA
Source: RNAcentral